Molecule: long non-coding RNA, 421 nt
Organism: Homo sapiens (human)
Lineage: Eukaryota; Metazoa; Chordata; Mammalia; Primates; Hominidae
Gene: RNF157-AS1
Product: RNF157 antisense RNA 1
Source: Ensembl
UCAUAGAGAUCAUCAAUGCUCUGCUUGCUUUGAUGUACCAUUAAGAAGACGAUCUUUCCUCUAACAGCCCCAUACAACUGAGCAGCGCCACCACGUCAUACCGGACAGAAGGAAGGCCCUGUGAGUCUAUGAAGCGGCAAAAUGAGUAAACUGAUUGGCUGAAGACAGAACUAAUCAUCCUACUGGUAUCUAACUCCAGGGCCUACGUUAAUAGCAUAUAUUUCCAUCUGUGUUUAAUAUGCCUCAGAGGCUGAGUAGAGGCAGAUCUUGCUUGGAGAGGCACCAUCUGCCUACAGGGAUUAGAUCCGAGCCACAUUACCCAUAUAUGCUCAGAAUGGUCUGUCAGGAACACCCUUGUUAAUAGUUUAGCUGAUACUGUUUCUCUAAGGUGGAAGUAAAAAUUACUAAAUGAAAGAGCAAA